Molecule: long non-coding RNA, 1346 nt
Filed under: Homo sapiens (human)
Lineage: Eukaryota; Metazoa; Chordata; Mammalia; Primates; Hominidae
Description: PREDICTED lncRNA (TCONS_00182879)
Source: RNAcentral
GCCGGGGCGUCCCCCGCGGGAGCCCGCAGCCACCCGGGACGCGCAUCCAGACGUGGCGCUUCGGACCGGGCACGCUGCGCCCGGGGGCUCGGCGGACCCCGCGUAGCCGCCGCUUCGGAGCUUGUGCGGCGCGGGCUGGCCAGCGGGGCGGCCAGGGCCCGGCCCGCCUCCCCAGCGCCCGCCCGGCUUCUCCCCCUGGCGGUGGGAGCCUCGGCGGCCGCUGGCGACACUAGGCGCACUGAAGCCCGAGCCGAGCCGAGCCCGAGCCGCCGCCGCCGCCGCCGCUGCUGCGCACCGCUCCCGGGCUCCCUCCCAGCGCGCCGGCCGGGGUGUGGGGGGCGGCGGGCCGGAGGGGCGAGGGCGGGCCAGGGGGCGCACACGGGGGUUGGCGCGGAAGACAGGACCCUCAGCCUCGAGGGAGCCCCUAGGUGACCAGGCAAAAUGGCAGUUCCUUCCAGCUGGUCCUCAGAUGGGCACAUCUAUUAGCCUCUGCUCUUGUAAGAAGUUAGCUGCAGAACCCACAUGUGAAUCCUUGUAGGACUCUGGAGAAGAUCAAAUGGGAGCUUAGAUGUGGAAGCUCUUUGGAAACCAAGAAACACUCUGAAAAUGAAAAGGGUGGAAGAGUAAACUGUUCCUGUUUCUCCAUCUUGACAGGAAGCAGAAGUUCUCCUUAGCUGAUUUUUCUUCUUGCCUUAUACUGGGUUCUUUAACACCAGAACAAAAAUAAAUAAAUAAAAGAAUCUUCCAGAAAUUCAUGAAGAGACUUCAGGUCAGGAAAGCCUGAACUUUCUCAUCCAACACCCGUUCAAGUCGGAGGAUGCUGAUUAAUUCAUGAUGGAAAGGUAUCAAUUUCACAGCCCAGACCUCUACAUUCUUGAAAUGCUCUUCUCAUGGGAGACAUUAAAUAAGCUUUGAAUUAACUAAAAAUAUCCAACCCGAGCAGGAUAAAACUGAUCAUCCUGAGGAUAUUGCCCUUGGAGUUAAUUUUUUGAGAGAAAUAAAACAAUAAACAUCAUAAGACACAAACCCCAAGCAACUGAUCUCACUGUUAAAAUCCAACCUGAGAACAAUGGAAUGGGUAAGUAGAAUAUUUAUUUAUUAAAAGGGCAACAUCUCAGAAAUGAAAUUACAAUUUAGUUGGGAUAAAUUGUCUUAUAACUUCAUUUUUUUACAUUAAAGCUAUAAUUGAGGGGUAUUAUAUGCUGUUUAUCACUGCAAUGAAAAUGUAGUCAGAAUGAACUUCUCGAGGCUGUUAAACUGCCUCUUAUUAGCAUUGAAACUAUACUCACAGCCUAUUAUCUUAGGCUAUAUUUUUUGGUAUAAGGGAAUUGCUAUCAAAGUGUACU